AUGUGAUGCUCAGGGAAGAUACCUAUUGUAUAGAUUUGGAGCUGGAUAGGAAUUUUAGAAAUGGACCUUGAACUCACUUUACAACUGAAAAAACAGGUUCAGAGAAGAUCAUACAGGUUCCUUCCAUCUUUAAAUUCUGUGGAAUAGGAAGCAAAUCUUCUGUGAUCAAAACAACAACAACAAAAUAAGAUAUGCUUCCUUAUUGGUCCUCUGGAAUGUUGAAUAAGAUUUUUAUUGCUUAUAUACACUGAAGAAUAAAACUCUCAAAUGUCAAAAGAAAAUAUUUCAGUGAUGAGAAAACAAGGUAAGUUAUUCCAGGUUCUAGAAAAAGUUAGACAACUUCUAUAGGAAAC
Molecule: long non-coding RNA, 353 nt
Organism: Antechinus flavipes (yellow-footed antechinus)
Lineage: Eukaryota; Metazoa; Chordata; Mammalia; Dasyuromorphia; Dasyuridae
Exons: 4
Source: RefSeq, a predicted model, not a curated record